Molecule: ribosomal RNA, 1361 nt
Filed under: uncultured bacterium
Lineage: Bacteria
Description: bacterial SSU rRNA
Rfam family: Bacterial small subunit ribosomal RNA
Source: RNAcentral
AUUGAACGCUGGCGGCAGGCCUAACACAUGCAAGUCGAACGGUAGCACAGAGAGCUUGCUCUCGGGUGACGAGUGGCGGACGGGUGAGUAAUGUCUGGGAAACUGCCCGAUGGAGGGGGAUAACUACUGGAAACGGUAGCUAAUACCGCAUAAUGUCGCAAGACCAAAGAGGGGGACCUUCGGGCCUCUUGCCAUCGGAUGUGCCCAGAUGGGAUUAGCUUGUAGGUGAGGUAACGGCUCACCUAGGCGACGAUCCCUAGCUGGUCUGAGAGGAUGACCAGCCACACUGGAACUGAGACACGGUCCAGACUCCUACGGGAGGCAGCAGUGGGGAAUAUUGCACAAUGGGCGCAAGCCUGAUGCAGCCAUGCCGCGUGUAUGAAGAAGGCCUUCGGGUUGUAAAGUACUUUCAGCGGGGAGGAAGGGAGUGAGGUUAAUAACCUUAUUCAUUGACGUUACCCGCAGAAGAAGCACCGGCUAACUCCGUGCCAGCAGCCCGCGGUAAUACGGAGGGUGCAAGCGUUAAUCGGAAUUACUGGGCGUAAAGCGCACGCAGGCGGUCUGUCAGUCGGAUGUGAAAUCCCCGGGCUCAACCUGGGAACUGCAUUCGAAACUGGCAGGCUGGAGUCUUGUAGAGGGGGGUAGAAUUCCAGGUGUAGCGGUGAAAUGCGUAGAGAUCUGGAGGAAUACCGGUGGCGAAGGCGGCCCCCUGGACAAAGACUGACGCUCAGGUGCGAAAGCGUGGGGAGCAAACAGGAUUAGAUACCCUGGUAGUCCACGCUGUAAACGAUGUCGACUUGGAGGUUGUUCCCUUGAGGAGUGGUUUCCGGAGCUAACGCGUUAAGUCGACCGCCUGGGGAGUACGGCCGCAAGGUUAAAACUCAAAUGAAUUGACGGGGGCCCGCACAAGCGGUGGAGCAUGUGGUUUAAUUCGAUGCAACGCGAAGAACCUUACCUACUCUUGACAUCCACGGAAUUUGGCAGAGAUGCCUUAGUGCCUUCGGGAACCGUGAGACAGGUGCUGCAUGGCUGUCGUCAGCUCGUGUUGUGAAAUGUUGGGUUAAGUCCCGCAACGAGCGCAACCCUUAUCCUUUGUUGCCAGCGAUUCGGUCGGGAACUCAAAGGAGACUGCCAGUGAUAAACUGGAGGAAGGUGGGGAUGACGUCAAGUCAUCAUGGCCCUUACGAGUAGGGCUACACACGUGCUACAAUGGCAUAUACAAAGAGAAGCGACCUCGCGAGAGCAAGCGGACCUCAUAAAGUAUGUCGUAGUCCGGAUUGGAGUCUGCAACUCGACUCCAUGAAGUCGGAAUCGCUAGUAAUCGUGGAUCAGAAUGCCACGGUGAAUACGUUCCCGGGCCU